RNAcentral lists this long non-coding RNA (1140 nucleotides) under Anser cygnoides (Swan goose). RNAcentral describes it as "lncRNA (ENSACDG00005018620.1)". The record is from RNAcentral. Lineage: Eukaryota; Metazoa; Chordata; Aves; Anseriformes; Anatidae.
GAAAAGGCUGGGGGUUGGGCCAGGGAGGAGAAGAGCGAGGGUUAGGGCUGGGGGGCUCGGUGGGGAUGAGGAGGGGACAUGGGGGCGAGGAGGGGCAUCCAGCCGCACACCCCCGCUGCUGUCACCCCAAAGCCAGUCUCAGCCCCCCGGGAUGCCCCCCCCACAAUCUCAGAGCCCCCCAGGUGCAGCCCCGUACCAGGCGGACGUUUGGGGCGCCCCUGCCCAAACUCCCCGCUGCCUGCCCAGGGGCUCUCGGAGCAGAAGGAGCCCCCGAAGGCACGGCCCGAGGCGAGACGCAGGCAGAGGGGGGCUGGAGGUCACCCCAUCGCUGGGGGUGUCCCCAAAACGCCAGAGCCCGGUGUUCGUGGGGAGCGAGAGGAUCAGGCACCGGGCUGGGGGAGAAACUGCAGGGAGGACAGCGGCACUGAGAGAAACCAAGCAGAGGAAAGCCUGAACAAAGGUACUUCCCCAAGUAAGCUCAGGUGAAAAAAACAACUUUUUCUAGCAAGUAGUGGAGGGAACAAAGUGCGCCAGAUCCUUGAUGCCAGCUGCUGACUUCAGGGCACUAGAUGUAGCAGACGUGGAGACACAGAUGUGCGAGAAGAGGAAGAACACAUGUCAUGGUGCAGAGAAACUUCUGCUUAGGCAACAAAACUGAGUGCUUCAGGCUGUGGUGCAAGGUAGAGAGAGCUGCAGUCCUCAUAUCCCUGCAAGGGCUGCAGGGUGCAGACAUGGUUCGUCCGUUCUGGGCUUCCCCCCAUGGAUAAACUCCUUUGCUGGGGAUAAAUACCUGCAUCUUACCUGGAUGCUGCCUGCAAGCUCUUGGGCUAGUGGCCACCUUUCCAUGGGCUAUCACAGCAGCGUAUUUGUCUGCAUCCCUCGUCCUGGCUCCCCCUGUACCUAUAAACUGCAGCGUUUGUAGGUACAGAUCAUGGCACGUACCGACAGUUACCUGCUGCUCGCCCCACACCACGAAUGCAGUGUUCGGUGCUGUCAGCAGAGCCGGCGUUCCCAUGCCGUGAAUGCGCUCGUCUCCAAAAAGCUUAGAGCAGCAGAAAAGACUUCUGUUCCCUAAGCCAGCGUAGUAGAGCUGUGUAUUUUUUUUAUGCUAAAUUAAAAUAAACAGCGCUGCACUCAACA